This is a long non-coding RNA of Chiroxiphia lanceolata (lance-tailed manakin), 2162 nucleotides long. RefSeq lists it as uncharacterized. NCBI's taxonomy places the organism in Eukaryota, Metazoa, Chordata, Aves, Passeriformes, Pipridae. The record is from RefSeq and is a predicted model, not a curated record. The transcript is spliced from 2 exons.
GGCUGCGGGCUGCAACGGCGAGAGGCGCUCGGUGGCAGCCGCGGGCCCGGCCGUGGCCUCAGAGGCCUGGCUGAGCCUGCGGGACGGGAGUAGCUGCCACCCCCUGCUCGGCGCGGCCCGCGUUACACAACCUGCUUGUUAUUCCAUCCUGUGCGCCGGCGGUCCCGGGCGGAUUCCUUCAGGGCUGGAUAUGCUGGGCUCGUCCUUUCCUACGUGUGGAACAGGAACAGCCUCCGGAGCCCGUCGGCCCCGGGCGGACACGGCUCGUGCUGCCUGUUGGUGGGCGCGCGUUCUCGCCUCGGCCGCCUCUCCCCGGGAACAGCUGCUCCACGUGCACUGCGGGACCCGUGGCGCACAUUUACAUAAAUCCACACCAGAGGGGCCGCUAACGUGUGUUUGUCAGGGCAUCCGAACUUGGAGUAGUUUGAUCGUUACGUAAUGUUAUCCAAGAGCAGGACUGUCUUUCUAGUUUGCAUUAUAGCGUUAGCUAAGUGCAACACUGGUUAUGCUGUUCUCAGUUCUGAUGGCUGGCAUGAGGUGCAGUACAGGCUGGUUACUGCAUGUAUCAAGUUUCAACACCCCCAAAAGAGACACACAAUGGUCUUUCUAAAAAUCAAAUUUAGAAUUAUCUUAUGGAUGGCUAUAUUAAUGUUGCCUUUACAUAUUCCUCAUAUUUUGUAUUGAAAUGCAAACAUCAUUUCAAGACAAAGAAGGAUGAAGUUAAAAUGCAUUGGUUUUCCUUUCGUUUCUUUUUUUCAGUUCUGUUUUGAGUCUUUGAGUUGUGUGUUCUCUAGGGCUUUCUGUAGUGCUAUGAAGGCUGGAAUACAUUAAAUAUUUCUCUUGCUACCAUCGCAGUAAAAAGGAAGCAUUAAACUGAAGGCAUGGUAACACAGCAAUAUUUUCAGGCACCACACAGGGUAGUUGCAACAAAACGGUAGCACCUUUGAAGCAGAGCACAGUUUUUAACCCACUCAUAUUUUUUUUUCUCCCUUGUGAUAUGAUUCUUAAAUCACCAUUAUGCAAAUCACCACAAGGGGUUUUUUUACAGUUUUCUCCCAGCUUCAGAAGGUCUUUACUAUCUGGAGCAAAAUUCGGUUAAACACAUUUGCAUUGCACAAAUUUUCCAGCAUUCAGCCCUUUUGAUUUCAUUGCUUUUGACACAAGCAGCAGGCAAAGCACUGUUGGUAAUCUGAUCAUUGUUAAUUGCCCUAUUCAGUUCUUUCUUUACACUGUCAAAAGUCACAUAACUCCAGUGACCCAUCUCAGUUUAACAGUGUGCACUUUCGAUGUGACCACACUGGGCCAGUCCCUUUAUAGUCGCAACUGUGUGUCAUUUAUAUAGUGAACUUGCCCACCUGUGGCACCUAUGUAACAGUUUGAUUUCACAUUUUAAAAAAAUGGACCCCAAUGGCCAAUUUCAUAGGUAUUACAGAGAUCUUUGUAUACAGUGACAGACCAGGUGUACACAAUUUCAACUGCACCAUCUGCUAGCUUUCCUUGCAAUAUUUUUAUCAUGUCCCUUUAUACAUGAGCUCCUUGGUAAUAGUCCAGAUCUUACUUUCCAGAGGAAAGCAACCUAUUUAUUUUCAGGAAACAGUCUGCUAGUGCCCCAAACACAAGAAAAAGCAGUAGAAGGCAGUUCCUUUGCUUAUAGUUCCAAGUCUCUACUUAGCCUCUUUCCAAGAUGUUCCUGAAUUAUUUUCCUUACAGCCUUUCCCCACCUUUCUAUGUUUUUUGUUCUAAAUGGAGUUUUUGAAAAUACACUAUACACAGGUAUCAUACUGGUCUUAAACAUGGUCACUUUUGAAUGUUAAUUACUAGUUCUCCAGUUGUCAAAGUGUGGAAAGGAGUUAGAAAUACGCUUAACUGAAUAAAGAAUGUAUUGGGUUUGGUGGUGGACAAACAGGUUUUCUCCCCUGCUGCAGGGCAGUAUUUGCUACUGUCAAAAGCUGAGAUAUGUUAUAGCAGUAGGUCAAUAACUGUUCAAACAACAUCUCACAGGAACAUCAUUCUAUUGUCUGGGUAUGUCUGUAUGUAUUUUCUCAAGAGAGUUGAUUUAAAUUAUUUUAAAACCCAGGUGCUUCAUUGAUUUUGUAAAUUGCAUAACUUCCUAGAAUGUCAUACAAAGUUAGACUUCUGAAAUAAAUUACUUGUUGUAAUAA